GGGCAUCUCCUCAGCCUGAACGGCUCCCUGGGUAUCGACUGGUUCUUAUAUAAUCUUUAUUCAUCACUCACG
RNAcentral lists this non-coding RNA (72 nucleotides) under Legionella pneumophila subsp. pneumophila. RNAcentral's name for it is "Legionella RNA 69". It matches the Rfam family "Legionella RNA 69", at positions 12 to 82 of the family's 82-position model. The record is from RNAcentral. RNAcentral also lists the same sequence under 1 other name. Lineage: Bacteria; Pseudomonadati; Pseudomonadota; Gammaproteobacteria; Legionellales; Legionellaceae.